RNAcentral lists this ribosomal RNA (253 nucleotides) under uncultured bacterium. RNAcentral describes it as "partial 16S ribosomal RNA". It matches the Rfam family "Bacterial small subunit ribosomal RNA", at positions 524 to 776 of the family's 1533-position model. The record is from RNAcentral.
UACAUGUGGGGCAAGCGUUGUUCGGAAUUACUGGGCAUAAAGGGUGCGUAGGUGGCUUGUUAAGUCAGGGGUGAAAGUUUUCGGCCCAACCGGAAAAUGGCCUUUGAUACUGGCGAGCUUGAGUGCGUGAGGGGUAACCGGAACGGGCAGUGUAGCGGUGAAAUGCGUAGAUAUUGCUCGGAAGGCCAACGGCGAAGGCAGGUUACUGGUACGCAACUGACACUGAGGCACGAAAGCGUGGGGAGCGAACAGG